Molecule: transfer RNA, 62 nt
Filed under: Gonyosoma frenatum
Lineage: Eukaryota; Metazoa; Chordata; Lepidosauria; Squamata; Colubridae
Description: tRNA-Tyr
Source: RNAcentral
GGUAGUAUGGCUGAUAAAAGCGGUAAUCUGUAAAAUUAUAAAUAGGAUAUUCCUUGCUGCCA